Molecule: long non-coding RNA, 505 nt
Filed under: Lupinus angustifolius (narrow-leaved blue lupine)
Lineage: Eukaryota; Viridiplantae; Streptophyta; Magnoliopsida; Fabales; Fabaceae
Description: long non-coding RNA (LANG_LNC001720)
Source: RNAcentral
GUAUUUUGAUCUACGUACUCAAAACCUGAGUGAUUAAUUUAUAUCAUGUUUUGGUUGUUGACAUUUUGCAAUUGAUUUAUUUGAGGACACAUUCAAUUGUAGAACAUCUUUUUUAUGUACUCAAAAGCAAAAAGUACUGAAGAGUUGUACUUGCAAAUAGAAAUGGUAAAAACAGAGAUGAAUCAGAAGUGAUGGUGGUGAUCUUAUCCUAUCUAGUGUUUGGUGUGAACCAUAUAACGAUAUAGUAAACAUUGUCUAUGUAGAUAGAAAAAAAUAACAUUUGUAAGCAAUGUUAGAUGUGUGUUUUUAACACGUUAGUAACCUUGUUUAAGUUCAUGUAGGCAAGGUUGCGUAUAUUUAUGAGAUUCAACGUGGAUUGUAGGCUUUAGAUCUAAACUCCAAAAAAUAAAAAAAUAAAAAAAUCUUUUAGGGCCAAUAAGUUUUAAUAUUAGUCAAAGUUAUUAAAUGAUCAUGAAUUAAUUCAUUUCAAGAUGUGUGAUAAUAA